This is a non-coding RNA of Phrynosoma platyrhinos (Desert horned lizard), 71 nucleotides long. NCBI's taxonomy places the organism in Eukaryota, Metazoa, Chordata, Lepidosauria, Squamata, Phrynosomatidae. The record is from the annotation of a GenBank genome assembly.
GACCAGUGGUGCAGUGGUUUGAGUGUUGGACUAUGACUCUGGAGACUAGGGUUCAAUUCCCCACUUGGCCA